This 74-nucleotide transfer RNA is filed under the name Candidatus Woesearchaeota archaeon. Its description in RNAcentral is "tRNA-Ile". It matches the Rfam family "tRNA". Rfam says of the family: Transfer RNA (tRNA) molecules are approximately 80 nucleotides in length. Their secondary structure includes four short double-helical elements and three loops (D, anti-codon, and T loops). The record is from RNAcentral. Lineage: Archaea; Nanobdellati; Candidatus Woesearchaeota.
GGGCCCGUAGCUUAGUCUGGUGGAGUGCUGCACUGAUAAUGCAGUGGUCGUCGGUUCAAAUCCGAUCGGGCCCA